GGCCCAAAUUUGAAGUAGAGUAGAUUAGAAAGAUCACCUGACUCUUCUAAACUACACUUAUUCAAUCUUGUGCCC
Molecule: non-coding RNA, 75 nt
Organism: Haemonchus placei
Lineage: Eukaryota; Metazoa; Nematoda; Chromadorea; Rhabditida; Trichostrongylidae
Source: Rfam